Molecule: ribosomal RNA, 335 nt
Filed under: uncultured soil bacterium
Lineage: Bacteria
Description: bacterial SSU rRNA
Rfam family: Bacterial small subunit ribosomal RNA
Source: RNAcentral
AGGACGAACGCUGGCGGCGUGCCUAAAACAUGCAAGUCGAACGAGGUAGCAAUACUUAGUGGCGAACGGCGGAGUAAUACAUAAGCAACGUGCCCUGAAGACUGGGAUAGCCGGGGGAAACCCCGAGUAAUACCGGAUGUGGCCGUCGGAGGACAUCCUUUGACGAUUAAAUGGUUUUUCGCUUCAGGAGCGGCUUAUGGCCCUAUCAGGUAGUUGGUGGGGUAAUGGCCUACCAAGCCGACGACGGUAGCGGGUCUGAGAGGAUGAUCCGCUCGAGUGGGACUGAGACACGGCCCACACACCUACGGGUGGCAGCAGUUGGGAAUCUUGCACAA